This 363-nucleotide unclassified non-coding RNA is filed under the name uncultured bacterium. Its description in RNAcentral is "contains 16S-23S intergenic spacer region". The record is from RNAcentral.
UCCCCAAAUAAGGGCAGUCUCGCCUGACACAUGUAACAGGCAAUGAGGGUUGCGUUCGUUACCCCACUUAAGGGAACAAUUCAAACCACGAACUGACGACGGCCAUGCAUCACCUGUCUAAUUGUCCUUGCGGACCACAAAGGUUUCCCAAUGUGUUCAACUAGAUUUCUAACCUUGGUAAGGUUCUUCGUUUGUCGACGAAUUAAACCCCAUAAUCCACCGCUUGUGCAAGUCCCCGUCUAUUCCUUUGAGUUUUAAGCUUGCGCUCGUACUACCCAGGCGGAUCACUUAACGCGUUAGCUUCGCCACAAAGAGGGUCGAUACUCCUUAUAGCUAGUGAUCAUCGUUUAGGGCGUGGACUAC